GCGAGCUGGUGCACGAGCUACUGCUAAGGCAGAGGAAACUCCUCCCUCCAUGCAGUAAGUGUGAUCCAGAGAUGGAUAAUCAGAGAUGGUUGGCUCCAGAACAGAAAAAGAUCUGACCCGGCGUACUAUGAUGGCAAAACCUGAGGUUUCCGGCAAAGAAUGAAAGAGCUGCCCCACACGGAGCAAGGCCAAACAAAACUAUAAGGACUGCACUUUGUUUAGGUAGGCCGCAUAGCUGAAUCUCGUAAAAACAGAAGGAGGGUUACGGCUGGCACGC
This 277-nucleotide RNase P RNA is filed under the name Nitrosopumilaceae archaeon. RNAcentral describes it as "RNase P RNA component". It matches the Rfam family "Archaeal RNase P". Rfam says of the family: Ribonuclease P (RNase P) is a ubiquitous endoribonuclease, found in archaea, bacteria and eukarya as well as chloroplasts and mitochondria. Its best characterised activity is the generation of mature 5'-ends of tRNAs by cleaving the 5'-leader elements of precursor-tRNAs. Cellular RNase Ps are ribonucleoproteins. Lineage: Archaea; Thermoproteati; Nitrososphaerota; Nitrososphaeria; Nitrosopumilales; Nitrosopumilaceae. The record is from RNAcentral.